CACGUAGGCGGCCUGUUAAGUGUGGAGUGAAAUCCCACGGCUCACCCGUGGAACUGCUUCGCAUACUGGCAAGCUCGAGGACGGUAGGGGAGAGCGGAACUCUUGGUGGAGCGGUGAAAUGCAUAGAUAUCAAGAGGAACACCGAUGGCGAAGGCAGCUCUCUGGUCCGUUUCUGACGCUGAGGUGCGAAAAGCUAGGGUAGCGAACG
This 208-nucleotide ribosomal RNA is filed under the name uncultured bacterium. Its description in RNAcentral is "partial 16S ribosomal RNA". It matches the Rfam family "Bacterial small subunit ribosomal RNA", at positions 568 to 774 of the family's 1533-position model. The record is from RNAcentral.